Molecule: ribosomal RNA, 265 nt
Filed under: uncultured archaeon
Lineage: Archaea
Description: partial 16S ribosomal RNA
Rfam family: Archaeal small subunit ribosomal RNA
Source: RNAcentral
ACACGACUACAUUAGAUACCCGGGUAGUCCUAGCCAUAAACGAUACUCGCUAGGUGUCGGCCACGGUGCGACCGUUGUCGGUGCCGUAGGGAAGCCGUGAAGCGAGCCACCUGGGAAGUACGGCCGCAAGGCUGAAACUUAAAGGAAUUGGCGGGGGAGCACCACAACGGGUGGAGCUUGCGGUUUAAUUGGAUUCAACGCCGGAAAUCUUACCGGGACCGACAGCAACAUGAAGGCCAGGCUGAAGACUUUGCCGGAUUAGCUG